GUAUUUCAUUGCGUUAAACGCGACAUACAUUCCAUAAGACUUUGUUACAGUGUGUGUGUAAAUACAUAGAACCACAGCAGGGGGGACGGAGCCCCACAGGCCAUAGAACUACAGAGGGUGCACAGGUGUGAGUGGAUGUGUAAACAGAGCGUGCACAUGCCCCCAUGUUUGAGGACCAGCAACAGCUCGUGUCAACAACUCAGUAAUGAUCCUUCCGCAGGUUCACCUACGGAAA
RNAcentral lists this unclassified non-coding RNA (235 nucleotides) under uncultured fungus. RNAcentral's name for it is "sequence contains ITS1". Lineage: Eukaryota; Fungi. The record is from RNAcentral.